Long non-coding RNA from Macadamia integrifolia, 361 nucleotides. RefSeq lists it as uncharacterized. The record is from RefSeq and is a predicted model, not a curated record. The transcript has 4 exons. NCBI's taxonomy places the organism in Eukaryota, Viridiplantae, Streptophyta, Magnoliopsida, Proteales, Proteaceae.
AGGAAUAGGAAGGACUUGAAGCCAUCAAACUCUGAUCUGCAGCUCUCAAGCUGGCUGCAAUCCACAGGAUCUGAGGUGACGAACCUAAGGCGAUAGCUAUUGGCAACCUGUGGUCUGCUUUGGUCCACUGCAUGGAAGUGAAGAAAGGAGGAGAGGAAAGGAGAAGAAGAAGGAAGUUUAGAGAGUUAAGGUUUGGAGUUUGAGUUUCUACAAUCUACCUACUUUCACCCACUCAAGAUGCUGAUGGCUGCGAGCGGUGAGAUACCCAAACCCACACUAGUGGUUCAUGAUAGAUGGAUGCCUGAGGUCGAGAAGCAUCACCCCGAUUACACAUGUGAUGACUAUGCGUGCAAAGUACCUU